UAGAGACAGACAGACGCCUGAAUCGUUCCUCCGUAGUUAAUAAUUACUUAUAAUUAUUGAGUCAUACGGAGCCAAAAGCAUCUUCCUUCCAUGGAGUCGCCGGAGUCAACCGCCGCCGAGAAAAUCAUCCUCCGUUGGGACUCAGAGGAGUCGCGCGACAGCAUGAUCUUCGCCAGCAACGACCGCCUCGAAAUCGACAGGUAUCUCGACGCCGUCGAUGAGCUCCAGAAAUCCAUGUCAUCCACAACCAUAUCCGAUUCCUCCUCCUCUUCGUCCUCCUCCACCUCCACGCUUCAGAUCGCCAUGGCUCGCCUCGAGGACGAGUUUCGCAACAUCCUCCUUUCUCAUACUUCGCCCAUCGAAGCGGACUCGCUCAGCGAGUCGACUCACUCCGAGUUCGCUUCUCAGGAAUUCGAUUUGAAGGAAGAUCAGGUUGCGGAGACGAUUCUGGAUAAGAAUUUUGAGCAUCAGGAGAGCAAUAGCAGCACCACCAGCAGCUGCUACAAGUCGACCAGCAGUAUCCGAGAAGUAGAUCUUAUCCCAAGCGACGCUGUCUAUGACCUUCGCUGCAUCGCAGAGCGGAUGAUUUCAGCCGGAUACUUGCGCGAGUGUAUUCAGGUGUACGCGAGCGUGCGCAAAUCGGCCGUCGACGCCAGUUUGAAGAAGCUGAAUGUCGAGAAAUUGAGCAUCGGCGAUAUUCAGCGCCUCGAGUGGGAGACGCUCGAGACGAAGAUCCGACGCUGGAUUCGCGCAGCUAAGAUUUGCGUUCGCGUGCUCUUCGCCAGCGAAAGGCGCCUCUGCGAGCACAUCUUCGAUGGCUUAGGAACUUCCGUGGAGGAUUCGUGUUUCAUGGAAACAAUAAAAGGUCCUGCAAUUCAGCUCUUUAAUUUUGCAGAAGCAAUUAGCAUCAGUAGGCGAUCGCCUGAGAAACUGUUUAAGAUACUUGAUUUGCACGAUGCCUUGUCUGAUUUGUUGCCCGACAUCGACACCGUCUUUGAGUCAAAAUCAAGUGAGUCUGUUCGAGUACAGGCUGUUGAAAUACUCUCCAGAUUGGCAGAGGCAGCAAGAGGUAUAUUGUCAGAAUUUGAAAAUGCAGUCCUUCGUGAGCCUUCAAGAGUUCCUGUUCCUGGAGGAACAAUUCAUCCCCUGACCAGAUAUGUGAUGAAUUACAUCAGUUUAAUUUCAGAUUAUAAGCAGACUUUAGUCGAGUUGAUUGUGUCGAAGCCGUCAACAGGACCAAGAUAUUCGAGUGAUCCUAAUCUACCUGAUAUGGAUCUCUCUGAGUUUGAAGGCCAGCGUUCAACUUUGGCACUCCAUUUGAUUUGGAUUAUUGCAAUUUUGCAGUUCAAUCUUGAUGGCAAAUCUAAGCACUACAAGGAUGAUUCUCUGGCUCAUUUGUUUAUGAUGAACAAUGUUCAUUAUAUUGUUCAGAAGAUUAAAGGCUCUUCUGAGUUGAGAGAGAUGAUUGGGGAUGAUUAUUUGAAAAGGUUAACAGGGAAAUUUCGAUUAGCUGCAACUAGUUAUCAGCGGGCGACUUGGGUGAGAGUUUUGUAUUGCUUAAGAGAUGAAGGUUUGCAUGUCAGUGGAAGUUUCUCAUCUGGUGUGUCUAAAAGUGCUUUGAGGGAUAGGUUUAAGGCCUUCAAUGGUAUGUUUGAGGAGGUGCAUAGAACUCAGUCGACAUGGUUAGUGCCCGAUCCUCAGUUGCGGGAGGAGCUGAGAAUUUCAAUAUCAGAAAAAGUCCUCCCUGCUUACCGAUCCUUUCUUGGAAGGUUCAGAAGUCAUAUCGAGAGUGGGAGACAUCCAGAGAAUUACAUCAAGUAUUCAGUUGAGGAUCUUGAGAAUGCAGUGUUGGAUUUCUUCGAGGGACACCCACCGAUGUCUCAACAUUUGAGAAGGAGAUCGCAGUGACCGAACUCAGAUUGAGUUUUGCCAUGUAGAACUUAGCACACAAUUCUUUCAAUUUUUUACUCUCCAAAUUGUUCAGGGUAUGUCUGCCUAAGAUGUUGGAUGCGAUCGAGCAGCUACAACAGCAGCAGCAGCAGCCACCGCCGCUUCCCGAGUGCUUCUGCCUCGAAAAGGACGUGGGUAUAGGUUUUUCAAGUUUAUCUACCUUUGCAACAAAGGGGAAAGUGAAAUCGAAUUCCAGGCCAGCAAGGUUUGGGGGGGGAACCCUCAAGGGGGUCAUAAUUUAUUCCUCAAUCUUCUCUACUACUACUCAAGUGUGAUCUCUUAACUUAUUUGGUAAUUCGUCACUACUCUUAAAUCUGGAUUUUUGCUACUUUGGGGCUAUUAUAAAUCUGGUAUGCAUUCCGCGGCAGUGAUUAAUGUUUUUGUUUUGAUUCAAUAUAGCUUAAUUGAAUUACUCAGCAACAUAUUCUUAUGUAGUUAUGCCCAUCAAAGGACCUCAAAAUGCUAAUCCACAGAAAACGAUCCGAAAAAAUUCCAGAGAACUGGCAUGAGAGCGACCCGUGGAAAUUCCAUUGGGUUCAAGGGCAAUCCAAAACAUCCCAAAUUAAAUAUUUUAAAUUUAAAAAUUAUUAAUUAUGGUGAUUCAUUUUUAAUUCCUGUCACAUUAGUACAAUGAAUACUGGGCAGCGGAAAAUAAAAAUAAGUUCCAAAGAAACAACUCGGUUGACAAUACGAAAAAUUGGAAACUAAAAGCCUGUAGAAAUAUCUAAUUGGAUGGUUGGAUUCCAAUCCACACAUGAAAAUACUGUAAAAAUAUAAUAGACUGUAAAAUAUUAUCCCUAAUUCCCAUUAUUUGCCAUCCCUAAUUCCCAUGACUUCCACCAAGAA
Molecule: RNA transcript, 2796 nt
Organism: Andrographis paniculata
Lineage: Eukaryota; Viridiplantae; Streptophyta; Magnoliopsida; Lamiales; Acanthaceae
Gene name: exocyst complex component EXO70A1
Exons: 2
Source: RefSeq, a predicted model, not a curated record